AUUGAACGCUGGCGGCAGGCCUAACACAUGCAAGUCGAGCGGAUGAAGGGAGCUUGCUUCUGGAUUCAGCGGCGGACGGGUGAGUAAUGCCUAGGAAUCUGCCUGGUAGUGGGGGAUAACGUCCGGAAACGGGCGCUAAUACCGCAUACGUCCUGAGGGAGAAAGUGGGGGAUCUUCGGACCUCACGCUAUCAGAUGAGCCUAGGUCGGAUUAGCUAGUUGGUGGGGUAAAGGCCUACCAAGGCGACGAUCCGUAACUGGUCUGAGAGGAUGAUCAGUCACACUGGAACUGAGACACGGUCCAGACUCCUACGGGAGGCAGCAGUGGGGAAUAUUGGACAAUGGGCGAAAGCCUGAUCCGGCCAUGCCGCGUGUGUGAAGAAGGUCUUCGGAUUGUAAAGCACUUUAAGUUGGGAGGAAGGGCAGUAAGUUAAUACCUUGCUGUUUUGACGUUACCAACAGAAUAAGCACCGGCUAACUUCGUG
This 484-nucleotide ribosomal RNA is filed under the name uncultured bacterium. RNAcentral's name for it is "partial 16S ribosomal RNA". It matches the Rfam family "Bacterial small subunit ribosomal RNA", at positions 30 to 507 of the family's 1533-position model. The record is from RNAcentral.